This is an RNA transcript of Tribolium castaneum (red flour beetle), 812 nucleotides long. RefSeq lists it as uncharacterized. The record is from RefSeq and is a predicted model, not a curated record. The transcript is spliced from 3 exons. NCBI's taxonomy places the organism in Eukaryota, Metazoa, Arthropoda, Insecta, Coleoptera, Tenebrionidae.
UCUACUCAUCUCUGCCUUAUUGACAUAUAUGGAGAAAAUUUGAAGUGUAUAAGUUUGCCACAAUAAACAUGGUCUAAAAAAGAUGAUUUCGGCCAAUUUUGCAGUGGCGGUGAUAACAGUGGUCAUUAGAGGUUUGCUGGAUAGGAUUAUAGUUGCCACUCAAGCACCCCUUACUACAAGUCAGAUUGUACCCCCGUCCACUGGACUUAUUAUUAUUUCCGGUACUCUGUACUAUUUAUACAAUCGUUUAGUCAAAAACAAAAAAAUUCAAGUCAGUUAUACAAAUUUCAAUAACCGGAAGUCGAAGAUUUUGGAUGGACGAAUUCAUAAAAAUGACUCGCAGUCUUCCUCUUUGUGUAAUUUUAAAGACCACAGAUGGUUGUCUUCGCGAAAAUUUCGCUCGCACCGCUCAAGAAGUAGAUGCCGAAGCAAUUUAUUAGCGGCAACGAAGGAUUCCUUAGAUUUGCUUCAUAAUAAUCAACGUUCGUCCACUUGUUCGUUUUCUUCGAAAAGUGGUUCGACGAUAAAAUGUCGGUGUAACAAGGACACAAGUGUGGAACGAACAAUUACAAAAGAGGGCACCCCAAGUGUUUACAGCCUUAAAUCAGAUGGUGAUAACCUAUCAGACCAAAUGGACAGCAAAAAAGAUGAACAAGACCAAUUUAAGGGCUAUGGUGAUUGUGAUUGGCAGGACCGAAAUAUUAAAAGUGGCAAACGACGCAAAAAAAUCCGAACAACCCGGAAAACAAGAAGCGGCAAAAUUUACUCCUCGUAUUUAUAAAAAAAUGGUGGAAAUAAAUUUUUCGAGUUGA